Long non-coding RNA from Cyprinus carpio carpio, 1059 nucleotides. The record is from Ensembl. NCBI's taxonomy places the organism in Eukaryota, Metazoa, Chordata, Actinopteri, Cypriniformes, Cyprinidae.
GCGUUAUAUCUUGCAGCUUUAGUAAUUGGUUUAUUGUUGUUGACAGACAUACUGUAUGUACAGUGAGACAAAACGAUGACCGCAUCUGCAUCGAAGGCGAAGCUCUCAGAGCUGAUAGUUUGUAUCGGCGUCCUUUUUAAGAAUGUCUCUGAACAGAUGAAAUACAGUACAGAAUACAUCCUGUAUCCAACUAAUGCAGAGUAUAUUCAAGUUGCCAACACUGGUUGUGAAGUACCCUUUCCAGAGAAAUAUAAAAGGAAAUGACUGUACCACACGGCACGAACAUUCUCCAGGAGACGUGGAGAAAGCAUGGAAGGAAUGUCUGUGGAGGAUGUAAAACACCCAUUCUUAAGGACACCUGCUGGAUUUUUAUGUAGGGGGACCCUGCUACACCCUUUCCUACCAUACAGCUGAUGGAUACUGACUGUAAAAUGGCAAUCAUAGGAAGAGGGCUCAGUGUGGUGACAGAAGAUGGAAUAGACGUGUGCCAGUGCACCAGCCUUGAUGAAGCCUUCAUAACAGCCUUCUGGGUGUAUUCUGCAUUCAACAUUGCAUAGCCAACACACCUGAGAAAGACACUGACUUUCCUUCAGAGACACAUUCUCAACAUUAGAAGAUGGAGCACUGCCAGUAUGGUUGACUGGAAGUCUGUCAGUCCAGAUGUGAGGAAGACAUACAGAGUGGACUUGGAGCUCAGCAGGUGUGAUGGCUGUAGAUACUGUGGCCAUGGAAAGAAGGGGGUCUUCACAGCUUUCUAUUCAGACAAAGAGUUUGGUCAUCAAGGCCAAUCAAGGCCUAAACUUGCAGCGGUGAUGACGUCAGUAACCCGCGCCAUGAAGUUUUGAAGGUACUUUCAAAAGUAAUGUAAAAUAAUUUUCUUAAUAUCCUUAACGCCGUUUUUACCUUGGAAGAAUUACAUUUGGUUUUAUAGGAUUAUGUUGAAUUUAUGUUUUCCUUUUUUAACAGCCAGCUUUCACAUUACCUUUUGGCACGCCCCCUACCUUUCGUUUCACCAAUGAGAAACCUUUUGGCACGCCCAUUGCUCCAGGCUGCAGUUAC